RNAcentral lists this ribosomal RNA (274 nucleotides) under Aulocara elliotti. RNAcentral's name for it is "partial 16S ribosomal RNA". It matches the Rfam family "Archaeal large subunit ribosomal RNA", at positions 1945 to 2354 of the family's 2987-position model. Lineage: Eukaryota; Metazoa; Arthropoda; Insecta; Orthoptera; Acrididae. The record is from RNAcentral.
UCUGGCCUGCUCACUGAAAAUUAUUUAAAGAGCCGCGGUAUUUUGACCGUGCAAAGGUAGCAUAAUCAUUAGUCUCUUAAUUAGAGGCUGGAAUGAAUGGCUUGACGAGAAAUCAACUGUCUCUUAAUAAAUUUUAGAAUUUAACAUUUGAGUCAAAAGGCUUAAAUUUAUCUUUAGGACGAGAAGACCCUAUAGAGCUUGACAUUUUAACUAAAUAUGGUUUUAAGUUAGUUUUUUUAUAUUUGAUAAAGAUGUUUUGUUGGGGUGACAUGAA